Molecule: ribosomal RNA, 504 nt
Filed under: uncultured bacterium
Lineage: Bacteria
Description: bacterial SSU rRNA
Rfam family: Bacterial small subunit ribosomal RNA
Source: RNAcentral
AGGACGAACGCUGGCGGCGUGCCUAACACAUGCAAGUCGAGCGGGGACAUACGACGGAAGUGAAGUUUCGGAUGGAGCGGAAGAUGUAUGUUCUAGCGGCGGACGGGUGAGUAACGCGUGAGCAACCUGUCCCUUACAGGGGGAUAACACAGCGAAAGUUGUACUAAUACCGCAUAAGACCACGGGGAGACAUCUUUCAGGGGUCAAAGGAGCAAUCCGGUAAGGGGUGGGCUCGCGUCCGAUUAGAUAGUUGGUGAGGUAACGGCCCACCAAGUCGACGAUCGGUAGCCGACCUGAGAGGGUGAUCGGCCACAUUGGGACUGAGACACGGCCCAAACUCCUACGGGAGGCAGCAGUGGGGAAUAUUGGGCAAUGGGGGGAACCCUGACCCAGCAACGCCGCGUGAGGGAAGAAGGUUUUCGGAUCGUAAACCUCUGUCCUUGGUGAAGGGUGAGAGACGGUAGCCAAGGAGGAAGCCCCGGCUAACUACGUGCCAGCAGCAGC